CCUACAUCAUUUCAUAAUGUAGAUACGGGAUCAUAGAUAGACAGAGUUGAGGAGUUUUUUUAUUUACUUUUAUUUUGAGUAUUGUACAAACUUUUAAAAAGGUUGAGUAUUCGAGUUUAUUGAAUUUAUUUCAGUUUUAAGCUUUUGUAUACUUGAGUUAGUCUUUCUUUCUCUUGUAGCCAUCCAGGAUAAGGGUUCGCUUGGGGACCAACAAUGGUUCUCG
This 223-nucleotide long non-coding RNA is filed under the name Solanum tuberosum (potato). RNAcentral describes it as "long non-coding RNA (STUB_LNC007434)". Lineage: Eukaryota; Viridiplantae; Streptophyta; Magnoliopsida; Solanales; Solanaceae. The record is from RNAcentral.